GACGAACGCUGGCGGCGUGCCUAAUACAUGCAAGUAGAACGCUGAAGAGAUGAGCUUACUCUUCUUGGAUGAGUUGCGAACGGGUGAGUAACGCGUAGGUAACCUGCCUUGUAGCGGGGGAUAACUAUUGGAAACGAUAGCUAAUACCGCAUAACAAUGGAUGACACAUGUCAUUUAUUUGAAAGGGGCAAUUGCUCCACUACAAGAUGGACCUGCGUUGUAUUAGCUAGUAGGUGAGGUAAUGGCUCACCUAGGCGACGAUACAUAGCCGACCUGAGAGGGUGAUCGGCCACACUGGGACUGAGACACGGCCCAGACUCCUACGGGAGGCAGCAGUAGGGAAUCUUCGGCAAUGGGGGCAACCCUGACCGAGCAACGCCGCGUGAGUGAAGAAGGUUUUCGGAUCGUAAAGCUCUGUUGUAAGUCAAGAACGGGUGUGAGAGUGGAAAGUUCACACUGUGACGGUAGCUUACCAGAAAGGGACGGCUAACUACGUG
Molecule: ribosomal RNA, 497 nt
Filed under: uncultured bacterium
Lineage: Bacteria
Description: partial 16S ribosomal RNA
Rfam family: Bacterial small subunit ribosomal RNA
Source: RNAcentral